UUCUUUGGUUGAAAUUCACGGAGGUGACGGAUUGGCUCGCGUCUGAUUAGCUAGUCGGCGGGGUAACGGCCCACCGAGGCUACGAUCAGUAGGGGUUCUGAGAGGAAGGUCCCCCACAAUGGAACUGAGACACGGUCCAUACUCCUACGGGAGGCAGCAGUGAGGAAUAUUGGUCAAUGGGCGGAAGCCUGAACCAGCCAUGCCGCGUGCAGGACGACGGCCCUAUGGGUUGUAAACUGCUUUUGCUGCGGAGCAAUAAGGGCCUCGAGCAGGUCCGAUGAGAGUACGCAGCGAAUAAGCAUCGGCUAACUCCGUGCCAGCAGCCGCGGUAAUACGGAGGAUGCGAGCGUUAUCCGGAUUUAUUGGGUUUAAAGGGUGCGUAGGCUGUGCGUUAAGUCAGGGGUGAAAUGCCGUCGCUCAACGACGGAGCUGCCCUUGAUACUGGCGUGCUGGAGUACGGAUGCCGUUGGAGGAAUGAGUGGUGUAGCGGUGAAAUGCUUAGAUAUCACUCAGAACACCGAUUGCGAAGGCAUCUGACGAAUCCGUCACUGACGCUGAGGCACGAAAGCGUGGGGAUAGA
This 580-nucleotide ribosomal RNA is filed under the name uncultured rumen bacterium. Its description in RNAcentral is "bacterial SSU rRNA". It matches the Rfam family "Bacterial small subunit ribosomal RNA", at positions 192 to 771 of the family's 1533-position model. The record is from RNAcentral.